RNAcentral lists this ribosomal RNA (269 nucleotides) under uncultured bacterium. RNAcentral describes it as "partial 16S ribosomal RNA". It matches the Rfam family "Bacterial small subunit ribosomal RNA", at positions 524 to 786 of the family's 1533-position model. The record is from RNAcentral.
UACGUAGGGGCCGAGCGUUGUCCGGAGUUAUUGGGCGUAAAAGCGCGCGCAGGCGGCCUCGCGCGCCCGACGUGAAAGCCCCCGGCUUAACCCGGGGAGGGUCGUUGGGGACGCGGGCUUGAGGGCGGGAGAGGUCGGUGGAAUUCCCGGUGUAGUGGUGAAAUGCGUAGGAGAUCGGGAGGAACACCUGUGGCGAAGGCGGCCGACUGGGCCGACCCUGGACGCUGAGGCGCGAAGGCGUCGGGAUGCGUAAGGGGAGUCAAGAUGGA